Non-coding RNA from Chlorocebus sabaeus (green monkey), 1111 nucleotides. Lineage: Eukaryota; Metazoa; Chordata; Mammalia; Primates; Cercopithecidae. The record is from RefSeq and is a predicted model, not a curated record.
GGUCAGUGGUCAUGUUUGUUCCUAUGCGACCUGGCUGCGGGCCUCUGAGGAGGCCUUGGCAGGUAAUACUGGUUAAUUAUCUAAUAAAGCAAAGGCAGAUGGAGUCAGAUGGACCUCAGUAUAAAUUCCAGAUCUUACAAGCCACUAGACUGUGACAAGUCACCUAUCCCCUCUGUGUUGGGUUCCCUCCACGUUAAAGGAAGAUAAUAAUGAACGUACCUUGUGGUGUUAUUCCAAGGCUUUAGUAACAUGCUUCACAGGGCACUUGGCAUGCUGGAGGCUGGGCACCAGUCACAGCUCGGAUUCUAGGGCAGGACUCUUGCUCCUGGAGGAUGAGCAAGGAAGAUGCAGAGCCCCGACCUCUGGACCCUCAUUCUAGACCUUUCAGUGGGUUUGGGUUAAUAGAAGCCUGUCCACCAACACAGCACUGCAUCCUUGAGACUGACUUUCCAUACAAAGCUGGUGGAAGUUCAUGAGGUCACGUGCUUACCCCAGACCAAUAACUGCUACCAGGGAAGACCAAGCUCUGAUGGGCUUACCCUGACCAGCUCCCACCUCCUGAGCUGGGGCUGGGUCUGCAGGGGAGCAGAUACCUGAACAAAAUUGGAGUUUUGAUAACAACAAAGAAAAUAUAAUUUUACUUAAAGUGAUCCAAGGGACACUGAGUCAGCCAUUCAUGAAGCGGAACAUGGUGAAUGCCAAGGUGAAGAGCAGCCGCAUGAGAUCCUAAAGGAAAGCCUGGGAGUCACACAAGUGGAGUACAGCAGCAAACCCCCUCCACAGCCUGCCCUUGACUUUGGUCUUGCCAGGGAACAGUUGAUGCCGACAAGAUGACGCAGCGGGGAAGUGAAUAUCCUGUCUGCUCCUUGUUCGGUGCUGUCUGUGUGUCCUAGCUUGCCAAAGCAUCCCUUAAAAGCCCCUGGGUCCAAGCAUCCAGAUGCUCAGUGAACACAGUGCUCUAACUCCGUCUUCCACCUUCCAUUAAGAAGUCAAUGACUCUCAUUCAAUACAACUCCAUCUUCUGCUAACCCCUAAAAGGAAUUUACAUUCUGCUCAUUUCACUUCCCAUUAUAUUGUAUUAAUCUUCCCAACAUUAAACCUUUUAAACCCA